Molecule: ribosomal RNA, 830 nt
Filed under: Streptomyces sp. SPB074
Lineage: Bacteria; Bacillati; Actinomycetota; Actinomycetes; Kitasatosporales; Streptomycetaceae
Description: bacterial LSU rRNA
Rfam family: Bacterial large subunit ribosomal RNA
Source: RNAcentral
UUUACUACAGUUUGAUAUUGGUGUUCGGUUCGGCUUGUGUAGGAUAGGUGGGAGACUGUGAAGCGGCCACGCCAGUGGUUGUGGAGUCGUUGUUGAAAUACCACUCUGGUCGUGCUGGAUGUCUAACCCGGGUCCGUGAUCCGGAUCGGGGACAGUGUCUGAUGGGUAGUUUAACUGGGGCGGUUGCCUCCUAAAGAGUAACGGAGGCGCCCAAAGGUUCCCUCAGCCUGGUUGGUAAUCAGGUGUUGAGUGUAAGUGCACAAGGGAGCUUGACUGUGAGACCGACGGGUCGAGCAGGGACGAAAGUCGGGACUAGUGAUCCGGCGGUGGCUUGUGGAAGCGCCGUCGCUCAACGGAUAAAAGGUACCCCGGGGAUAACAGGCUGAUCUUCCCCAAGAGUCCAUAUCGACGGGAUGGUUUGGCACCUCGAUGUCGGCUCGUCGCAUCCUGGGGCUGGAGUCGGUCCCAAGGGUUGGGCUGUUCGCCCAUUAAAGCGGUACGCGAGCUGGGUUUAGAAACGUCGUGAGAACAGUUCGGUCCCUAUUCGCUGUGCGCGUAGGAAUUAUGAGAAGGGCUGUCCCUAGUACGAGAGGACCGGGACGGACGAACCUCUGGUGUGCCAGUUGUUCUGCCAAGGGCAUGGCUGGUUGGCUACGUUCGGGAGGGAUAACCGCUGAAAGCAUCUAAGCGGGAAGCCUGCUUCGAGAUGAGUGUUCCCACCUCCUUUGAGAGGGUAAGGCUCCCAGUAGACGACUGGGUUGAUAGGCCGGAUAUGGAAGCCCUGUGAGGGGUGGAGUUGACCGGUACUAAUAGGCCGAGGGCUUGUCCUC